UACGUAGGGUGCAAGCGUUAAUCGGAAUUACUGGGCGUAAAGCGUGCGCGGGCGGUUUUGUAAGUUUGUCGUGAAAUCCCCGGGCUUAACCUGGGAACUGCAUUUGAAACUGGCAGGCUUGAGUCUUGUAGAGGGGGGUAGAAUUCCAGGUGUAGCGGUGAAAUGCGUAGAGAUCUGGAGGAAUACCGGUGGCGAAGGCGGCCCCCUGGACAAAGACUGACGCUCAUGCACGAAAGCGUGGGGAGCAAACAGG
This 253-nucleotide ribosomal RNA is filed under the name uncultured bacterium. RNAcentral describes it as "partial 16S ribosomal RNA". It matches the Rfam family "Bacterial small subunit ribosomal RNA", at positions 524 to 776 of the family's 1533-position model. The record is from RNAcentral.